This is a long non-coding RNA of Cygnus olor (mute swan), 1362 nucleotides long. RefSeq lists it as uncharacterized. The transcript has 2 exons. Lineage: Eukaryota; Metazoa; Chordata; Aves; Anseriformes; Anatidae. The record is from RefSeq and is a predicted model, not a curated record.
UCCAGCUGCAAAUCAGGGUUUACAACCCCCGGGGAUUUUUUGUGUGUGAGUGGGUGCGUUAAAUUGCUGUAAAAUGAUGUCCACAGACAUUCUAAGCAGACCACAGCACUUUGAUGGAAGCCAGGGUCUGAAUCAAAACCACCUCAUUUCCCCCCAACCCCGUCGCCCCCUCAGACUUGUCUGGAUCCCAUCAGAAAUGUGUUAAUCACAGAGAAAUGACAUACAUCUCUACUCUGAGGUACGUAUAAAUUUAGCAUGACAUGGCGAGAGACCCAGUGCUCCACACUCAGCAGAAGGUUGUGCUUGCUGGCAGCCCGGGGAGCUUCGAGUCUCUCUGUGAUGCCCGGGGCUCUGGCGAUAACCUCCAGCAGCGGCUCCCGCGGCUUCCCAGCCCUGAAGCUGUGCCCUUAGUGGGCGUUAAGUUUCUUUUGCUUGGCUUUGCUAUGUGAAAGUAAUAGUUAAUGCUUGUGUUAGGAGGGAAAACUCCACUUUGUCUUUUCUUUUUCCCCUGGCAAGAGGAGGAGUGACGAUGGAAAGCAGUUUUCCAAACUUCCUGAAGCGUGGUGUGGUCACAUGCUGGGGGCUGUUUUGUACGGAAGGCACGGCCAGUCGGUACAACUGCGUGUAGUAGUCGGAAUCUGGUCUGAGAGAUGUGCAGAGCUGCCAGCCGUGGAAGGACAUGCUUCUUCAAGGCCUGGGGCAGAGGCGGAGGGAGGAUUGCUGGCUGCCUUUCCCGAGUUGUUCCCGAGGCAGGACUGCUCUUGGGAAUCAGGCACCCAAACCAGGCUGGGAUUCCUGGAAGAGAGCUCGCUGGUGUCCUGUUGUCUGCAAUGCCUCUGGGAGUGAAUUCUGGGAAGAAUCUGCUUUGGUUUUAAGCUGUAUGGUGCCGCCUCCUCUCCCAUUAUCACUCUCCGGUUUCAAUGGCCCCAUUGUGCUGCCUGUACUGGCACUUCGCUUGGUUUGAAGCGUGGGGAAGAAGUUGCUCCAUCCCUCUAGUUUGCUUCUGUCACUCACGGCGCUGACCUUCUGCCCGGGAGCUCUUUGAGAGCAGUGGCUAUUCCUCCUGCCGGCACACCUGAGCGAGCUGCCGCGCUGCCCUCCUGCCGCCCCGGGGCUCCUGCCCUCGCGCCGCUCUGCCUUCCUCCCGUGCUGUCGUGGCUGAGAGGAGUCUCUUCGUGGGUCCUGUGUCUUUAGUACCUCGGCACGCGAGAUUUCUGUCAGGACUUUUUCCUUGUGAGACUGUUGGCUUCCACCAAUGGUUGAGAAAGAACAUGAAAAAAAUUCUGAUGAUGCAAAAAACGUUGUGGAGUAGAAUUAUCUUAAUGUAAUUACUUUCUGACUGCAGUAAACCCUUUCCAUUGU